AAUUAGCGCUAAUACCGGAUACUUAAAUAUCUCGCAUGAGGUAUUUAUAAAAGGAGCCUUUAAAGCUUCACAAGGGGAUCGGGGUGCGUAACAUUAGCUAGUUGGUGAGGUAAUGGCUCACCAAGGCGAUGAUGUUUAGCGGGGUUGAGAGACUGAUCCGCCACACUGGGACUGAGAUACGGCCCAGACUCCUACGGGAGGCAGCAGUAGGGAAUUUUCCACAAUGGGCGAAAGCCUGAUGGAGCGACACAGCGUGCAGGAUGAAGGCCUUCGGGUUGUAAACUGCUGUUAUAAGGGAAGAAAAAGUCGAGGAGGAAAUGCCUUGACCUUGACGGUACCUUAUCAGAAAGCAACGGCUAACUAUGUGCCAGCAGCCGCGGUAAUACAUAGGUCGCAAGCGUUAUCCAAGCAACGGCUA
This 418-nucleotide ribosomal RNA is filed under the name Mycoplasmopsis gallinacea. RNAcentral describes it as "bacterial SSU rRNA". It matches the Rfam family "Bacterial small subunit ribosomal RNA", at positions 155 to 546 of the family's 1533-position model. Lineage: Bacteria; Bacillati; Mycoplasmatota; Mycoplasmoidales; Metamycoplasmataceae. The record is from RNAcentral.